GGGGUUGUGGCUCAGUGGCAGAGUGCUCGCCUAGCACAUGUGAGGCCCUGUUCAAUCCUCAGCAUCA
This 67-nucleotide transfer RNA is filed under the name Marmota monax (woodchuck). RNAcentral describes it as "tRNA.Ala". The record is from RNAcentral. Lineage: Eukaryota; Metazoa; Chordata; Mammalia; Rodentia; Sciuridae.